This 253-nucleotide ribosomal RNA is filed under the name uncultured bacterium. RNAcentral's name for it is "partial 16S ribosomal RNA". It matches the Rfam family "Bacterial small subunit ribosomal RNA", at positions 524 to 776 of the family's 1533-position model. The record is from RNAcentral.
UACGGAGGAUGCAAGCGUUAUCCGGAAUGAUUGGGCGUAAAGCGUCUGCAGGUGGCUGUGUAAGUCUGCUGUUAAAGCGUGAGGCUCAACCUCAUAAAGGCAGUGGAAACUACAUGGCUAGAGUGCGUUCGGGGCAGAGGGAAUUCCUGGUGUAGCGGUGAAAUGCGUAGAGAUCAGGAAGAACACCGGUGGCGAAAGCGCUCUGCUGGGCCGCAACUGACACUGAGAGACGAAAGCUAGGGGAGCGAAUGGG